Molecule: microRNA precursor, 78 nt
Filed under: Schistosoma margrebowiei
Lineage: Eukaryota; Metazoa; Platyhelminthes; Trematoda; Strigeidida; Schistosomatidae
Description: mir-3492 microRNA precursor family
Rfam family: mir-3492 microRNA precursor family
Source: Rfam by way of RNAcentral
AGCCUUCUGAAUUCAUGCCGAGGUGUUGUAAGACAUCAGACAAUCAGAACUGAUUAGGCUCUCAAGAUAAGUGAAGCG